Molecule: ribosomal RNA, 494 nt
Filed under: uncultured bacterium
Lineage: Bacteria
Description: partial 16S ribosomal RNA
Rfam family: Bacterial small subunit ribosomal RNA
Source: RNAcentral
GAUGAACGCUGGCGGCGUGCUUAACACAUGCAAGUCGAACGGGAAACCUAUUAUUGAAACUUCGGUCGAUUUAAUUUGUUUCUAGUGGCGGACGGGUGAGUAACGCGUGGGUAACCUGCCCUAUACAGGGGGAUAACAACCAGAAAUGGUUGCUAAUACCGCAUAAGCGCACGGGACCGCAUGGUCCAGUGUGAAAAACUCCGGUGGUAUAGGAUGGACCCGCGUUGGAUUAGCUAGUUGGUGGGGUAACGGCCCACCAAGGCAACGAUCCAUAGCCGGCCUGAGAGGGUGAACGGCCACAUUGGGACUGAGACACGGCCCAGACUCCUACGGGAGGCAGCAGUGGGGAAUAUUGCACAAUGGGGGAAACCCUGAUGCAGCGACGCCGCGUGAAGGAAGAAGUAUCUCGGUAUGUAAACUUCUAUCAGCAGGGAAGAUAGUGACGGUACCUGACUAAGAAGCCCCGGCUAACUACGUGCCAGCAGCCGCAGUAA